This 65-nucleotide transfer RNA is filed under the name Limnoria quadripunctata. Its description in RNAcentral is "tRNA-Thr". Lineage: Eukaryota; Metazoa; Arthropoda; Malacostraca; Isopoda; Limnoriidae. The record is from RNAcentral.
AAAGGUAGGUUAAACCCAACCAUUAAGUUUGUAACUUAAAAUUGAAUAUUAUAUUUCCCUUCUUU